UUUAAAUUAUCAAUUGAACUGAAUCAUUUAAAUGGGUUGUUUUCUAUUUAAUUUUUAAAAAUUUGAUUUGCUUUCGAUUAAUAAAUAUUUUAAAAAUUUAUUUUUUUGUUUUGUUCAAUUAAUUCAUUAAAGAAAUCAAAUUAAUUGAAUCAAUUCUCUAUUCAAUUUAUUGUGUUUUUACUUUACGUAUAAAAGCAAACUUUGCCAAUCUUCUCACCUCAUCUUCCCCCAGCAUAGAAACUCCUGCUAAAUGAAAAAAUCUGUCUCACUCUCACGAUAUGUUGGGAAUCUAAAUCUUACCCACCUCAUCUUCCCCCAGCAUAGAAACUCCUGCUAAAUGAAAAAAUCUGUCUCACUCUCACGAUAUGUUGGGAAUCUAAAUCUUACC
Molecule: unclassified non-coding RNA, 388 nt
Filed under: Hevea brasiliensis (rubber tree)
Lineage: Eukaryota; Viridiplantae; Streptophyta; Magnoliopsida; Malpighiales; Euphorbiaceae
Source: RNAcentral